RNAcentral lists this ribosomal RNA (429 nucleotides) under Chloroflexota bacterium. Its description in RNAcentral is "Chloroflexi bacterium partial 16S ribosomal RNA". It matches the Rfam family "Bacterial small subunit ribosomal RNA", at positions 355 to 776 of the family's 1533-position model. Lineage: Bacteria; Bacillati; Chloroflexota. The record is from RNAcentral.
UAGGGAAUCUUCGGCAAUGGACGAAAGUCUGACCGAGCAACGCCGCGUGAGUGAAGAAGGUUUUCGGAUCGUAAAACUCUGUUGUUAGAGAAGAACAAGGACGUUAGUAACUGAACGUCCCCUGACGGUAUCUAACCAGAAAGCCACGGCUAACUACGUGCCAGCAGCCGCGGUAAUACGUAGGUGGCAAGCGUUGUCCGGAUUUAUUGGGCGUAAAGCGAGCGCAGGCGGUUUGUUAAGUCGGAUGUGAAAUCCCCGGGCUCAACCUGGGAACUGCAUUCGAAACUGGCAGGCUAGAGUCUUGUAGAGGGGGGUAGAAUUCCAGGUGUAGCGGUGAAAUGCGUAGAGAUCUGGAGGAAUACCGGUGGCGAAGGCGGCCCCCUGGACAAAGACUGACGCUCAGGUGCGAAAGCGUGGGGAGCAAACAGG